RNAcentral lists this ribosomal RNA (346 nucleotides) under uncultured bacterium. RNAcentral describes it as "bacterial SSU rRNA". It matches the Rfam family "Bacterial small subunit ribosomal RNA", at positions 8 to 334 of the family's 1533-position model. The record is from RNAcentral.
AGAGUUUGAUUAUGGCUCAGGAUGAACGCUGGCGGCGUGCUUAACACAUGCAAGUCGAACGAAGCAUUUGCGACAGAUUUCUUCGGAUUGAAGUUGCUUAUGACUGAGUGGCGCACGGGUGAGUAACACGUAUCCAACCUUCCGUUUACUCAGGGAUAGCCUUUCGAAAGAAAGAUUAAUACCUGAUAGUAUGGUGAGAUUGCAUGAUAGCACCAUUAAAGAUUUAUUGGUAAACGAUGGGGAUGCGUUCCAUUAGGUAGUAGGCGGGGUAACGGCCCACCUAGCCAACGAUGGAUAGGGGUUCUGAGAGGAAGGUCCCCCACAUUGGAACUGAGACACGGUCCAA